This 1256-nucleotide long non-coding RNA is filed under the name Chlamydomonas reinhardtii. RNAcentral describes it as "long non-coding RNA (CREI_LNC001031)". Lineage: Eukaryota; Viridiplantae; Chlorophyta; Chlorophyceae; Chlamydomonadales; Chlamydomonadaceae. The record is from RNAcentral.
GAGCUUCUUAGUUGCAAAUUCUUUACCUUCGCCACCAAAUUCUGCGAGGGCAGCACGAAUUGCUGCCAGUUCAGCUCUCGUAAUAGUGUUUGUGCACCCGGCGCCAUUUGGAUUCACGUAGACAACGCGAGAAUCGCUGAACCAGGCGCAGGCGCCGGCAACCUGGACUUCUUUGCCAUUGUCAGUUUUGAUUUUGCUUACCGAACCAUCUGUCCAGACAGUGCCAUUCACGUCGUGGGCCAGAGCAUGGUGGGUCUGGAAUCGCGCGUUAGGAAAGCGUCGUGCUUCGUCAGCCAUGGCGUGUAUCGUCUUUGGGUUAGCGUGCUGGUAUUUGGCUUGCUUUAGAAGUGAGUUUGGGAGGGCCGGGCAGGUUGGGGCCGUGGCCGUGUGUGUCCACGUGCGCGGGUCGCUGAUGUGCGUGGGUGCGUUCGCCCCCCGUUUCAGUGUGUCCACGAGCCGUUUCAGGCGGGGGGCAAAGCACUGGAGUCCGGCGGGUUUCCCAACAAUGACCAGUCGGAGCCCCUUCUGGCGUUCAGCCUGGGUGUUGGUGCCAAGUCCUGUGUCAAGGCCCGCGGUGCCCGCGGACCAGUUGGCCAGCUCGUGGCAAAGUGGGUGUUGAAGCCACUGCGUGUGGGGGAAAGUGGCCGCUUUGGGGAGCGCCAAUACAGUAAGGGUUGGUUCCUGUGAGUCACGCAUAGCCUUGGCGCAUGCGAGGGCCCACAUGAGCGCCUUCCGUGCAUCGUGGGGGGUAGAGGAGGGGUGGGCAUAUUGCAAGCCGGUCCAUGCGGUCUGGUAGGCAUCGUGCAGUGCGCCAAAGGCCCCAUCAGCAGGGUCUCGUGUCCAGUAUUCGUGGGCUGCAGUGGAGGAGUUUAGUGGGGACGCAAACAUUUCCCGAAUGUGUACUGCUUGUGUGACCCGCAGGCAUUGGACGAUGGCUGCUACUGUGCCUGCCGGCAGUGACACCUGGUGCAUUGGCAUGGCCUUGCGGUCCUGCUGCGCCGGGUCAUAGCGGUAGCGCAUGAUGAGGGCAGCGACCGCUUCCUCAAAGGCGUUGGGCCGCUGGUUGCCGGUGUGCCUGAAGCGCUCCCACAGGGUAAGGAGGCGGGGGUAGGUGAUGGUGCCCAGCCAGCGGCCACUGGGUUCAUGGACGUGCGCCUCAGCUGGGUCACGGCGGGUGCCACCAGUGGUGGUAAUUGUGUAUGCUCCGGGGGCCACGAUGUCCUUGUAGGGGUUGCACGGGCUUGUGGUGAUGGUGG